UAGAGUUUGAUCCUGGCUCACGAUGAACGCUAGCUACAGGCUUAACACAUGCAAGUCGAGGGGCAGCAUCGCGAUAGCUUGCUAUUGCGGAUGGCGACCGGCGCACGGGUGAGUGACGCGUAUCCAACCUUCCCGCAACUGGGGAAUAACCUUGCGAAAGUAAGACUAAUACCCCAUGGUCUCCACGGAUGGCAUCUGAAAUGGAGUAAAGGUUUCGGCCGGUUGCGGAUGGGGAUGCGUCCGAUUAGCUUGACGGCGGGGUAACGGCCCACCGUGGCAUCGAUCGGUAGGGGUUCUGAGAGGAAGGUCCCCCACAUUGGAACUGAGACACGGUCCAAACUCCUACGGGAGGCAGCAGUGAGGAAUAUUGGUCAAUGGGCGGAAGCCUGAACCAGCCAAGUAGCGUGAAGGACGACUGCCCUAUGGGUUGUAAACUUCUUUUAUGCGGGGAUAAAGUUCGCCACGUGUGGCGUUUUGCAGGUACCGCAUGAAUAAGGACCGGCUAAUUCCGUGCCAGCAGCCGCGGUAAUACGGAAGGUCCACGCGUUAUCCGGAUUCAUUGGGUUUAAAGGGAGCGUACGCCGCCCUUUAAGCGUGUUGUGAAAUGUAGGGGCUCAACCCCUGCCCUGCACCGCCAACUGCACGGCUUGACUACACACAAAGUAGGCGGAAUUCAUGGUGUAGCGGUGAAUGCUUAGAUAUCAUGAAGAACCCCGAUUGCGAAGGCAGCUUACUGGAGUGUAACUGACGCUGAAGCUCGAAAGCGCGGGUAUCGAACAGGAUUAGAUACCCUGGUAGUCCGCGCGGUAAACGAUGGAUGCCCGCUGUUUGCCACUUUGGUAAGCGGCCAAGCGAAAGCGUUAAGCAUCCCACCUGGGGAGUACGCCGGCAACGGUGAAACUCAAAGGAAUUGACGGGGGCCCGCACAAGCGGAGGAACAUGUGGUUUAAUUCGAUGAUACGCGAGGAACCUUACCCGGGCUUGAAUUGCAGGAGAACGAUCCAGAGAUGGUGAGGCCCUUCGGGGCUCCUGUGAAGGUGCUGCAUGGUUGUCGUCAGCUCGUGCCGUGAGGUGUCGGCUUAAGUGCCAUAACGAGCGCAACCCCUCUCCGUAGUUGCCAUCGGGUGAAGCCGGGCACUCUGCGGAUACUGCCACCGUAAGGUGUGAGGAAGGUGGGGAUGACGUCAAAUCAGCACGGCCCUUACGUCCGGGGCUACACACGUGUUACAAUGGGGCAUACAGAAAGCAGGCGGCCGGCAACGUCCGUCUAAUCAUCAAAGUGUCCCUCAGUUCGGACUGGGGUCUGCAACCCGACCCCACGAAGCUGGAUUCGCUAGUAAUCGCGCAUCAGCCAUGGCGCGGUGAAUACGUUCCCGGGCCUUGUACACACCGCCCGUC
This 1398-nucleotide ribosomal RNA is filed under the name uncultured bacterium. RNAcentral describes it as "16S ribosomal RNA". It matches the Rfam family "Bacterial small subunit ribosomal RNA". The record is from RNAcentral.